AGUCGAACGAGAAAGUGGAGCAAUCCAUGAGUACAGUGGCGUACGGGUGAGUAACACGUGACUAACCUACCCUCGAGUGGGGAAUAACUUCGGGAAACCGAGGCUAAUACCGCAUAACAUCUACGGAUCAAAUGCGCAAGCAGCUUGAGGAGGGGGUCGCGGCUGAUUAGCUAGUUGGCGGGGUAACGGCCCACCAAGGCAAUGAUCAGUAGCCGGCCUGAGAGGGCGCACGGCCACACUGGAACUGAAACACGGUCCAGACUCCUACGGGAGGCAGCAGUGGGGAAUUUUGCGCAAUGGGGGAAACCCUGACGCAGCAACGCCGCGUGGAGGAUGAAGCCCCUUGGGGUGUAAACUCCUUUCGAUCGGGACGAUUAUGACGGUACCGGAUGAAGAAGCACCGGCUAACUCUGUGC
RNAcentral lists this ribosomal RNA (416 nucleotides) under uncultured bacterium. Its description in RNAcentral is "bacterial SSU rRNA". It matches the Rfam family "Bacterial small subunit ribosomal RNA", at positions 60 to 508 of the family's 1533-position model. The record is from RNAcentral.